UAACCUGCCCAAGAGAUCGGGAUAACACCUGGAAACAGAUGCUAAUACCGGAUAACAACAGAUGAUGCCUAUCAACUGUUUAAAAGAUGGUUCUGCUAUCACUCUUGGAUGGACCUGCGGUGCAUUAGCUAGUUGGUAGGGUAACGGCCUACCAAGGCGAUGAUGCAUAGCCGAGUUGAGAGACUGAUCGGCCACAUUGGGACUGAGACACGGCCCAAACUCCUACGGGAGGGCAGCAGCC
RNAcentral lists this ribosomal RNA (241 nucleotides) under uncultured Lactobacillus sp. Its description in RNAcentral is "partial 16S ribosomal RNA". It matches the Rfam family "Bacterial small subunit ribosomal RNA", at positions 122 to 355 of the family's 1533-position model. Lineage: Bacteria; Bacillati; Bacillota; Bacilli; Lactobacillales; Lactobacillaceae. The record is from RNAcentral.